GCGAAGAACAUGGUGUAGUUUCUCGGCUCCUGAGAAGUACUGGACAAUGAAGGGUACCCUGUCGGUUACAGCUCGUAUCUGUCUCCUGAGCCCCGUCGGAACUAGCGGUCAAUGAGUUGUGCAUCGUACCCUGUUUCUAUGAGGGCAUCCUUGGGUACUUCCAAGUGCCCAACUAUACAAUUCAUUUCCAACUUCAACCAAGGCCAAAUAUUUAAGUGGACAUCCAAACUGCUCUAAUUUUAUAUAUCUAGUGGUGUACUCUCCUGAGUCAUAACGCUCCAGAUUCAAGUCCCACAUCAGGCUUGAACACACAAAUCCAGGCUGACAUUCCAGAGAUGCCAUCAGAUGAGGGGCAUAACUUUAAGGGCCACAACACACUGCAGUACACCAGAACUGCAAAA
Non-coding RNA from Chiloscyllium plagiosum (whitespotted bambooshark), 401 nucleotides. The record is from RefSeq and is a predicted model, not a curated record. NCBI's taxonomy places the organism in Eukaryota, Metazoa, Chordata, Chondrichthyes, Orectolobiformes, Hemiscylliidae.